RNAcentral lists this ribosomal RNA (484 nucleotides) under uncultured bacterium. RNAcentral's name for it is "partial 16S ribosomal RNA". It matches the Rfam family "Bacterial small subunit ribosomal RNA", at positions 30 to 507 of the family's 1533-position model. The record is from RNAcentral.
AUUGAACGCUGGCGGCAGGCCUAACACAUGCAAGUCGAGCGGCAGCACGGAGGUUGCCCCUGGAUUCCGCGGGGGACGCGUGUGUAUAGUCCAGGAAUCUGUGUCGUAUUGGGGGAUAACGUCCGGAGAAGGGCGCUUUUAUAGCACACGCCCUGUGCGGGUAAGAGGGGGAGCUCUGGAGCUCACGCUCUCAGAUGAUCGUAGGUCGCAUUAGCUAGUUGGUGGGGUAAAGGCCUACCAAGGCGACGAUCCGUAACUGGUCUGAGAGGAUGAUCAGUCACACUGGAACUGAGACACGGUCCAGACUCCUACGGGAGGCAGCAGUGGGGAAUAUUGGACAAUGGGCGAAAGCCUGAUCCAGCCAUGCCGCGUGUGUGAAGAAGGUCUUCGGAUUGUAAAGCACUUUAAGUUGGGAGGAAGGGCAGUAAGUUAAUACCUUGCGGUUUUGACGUUACCAACAGAAUAAGCACCGGCUAACUUCGUG